Molecule: ribosomal RNA, 497 nt
Filed under: uncultured bacterium
Lineage: Bacteria
Description: partial 16S ribosomal RNA
Rfam family: Bacterial small subunit ribosomal RNA
Source: RNAcentral
GAUGAACGCUGGCGGCGUGCCUAAUACAUGCAAGUCGAGCGAACAGGCGAGGAGCUUGCUCCUCUGACGUUAGCGGCGGACGGGUGGGUAACACGUGGAUAACCUACCUAUAAGACUGGGAUAACUUCGGGAAACCGGAGCUAAUACCGGAUAAUAUAUUGAACCGCAUGGUUCAAUAGUGAAAGACGGUUUUGCUGUCACUUAUAGAUGGAUCCGCGCCGCAUUAGCUAGUUGGUAAGGUAACGGCUUACCAAGGCAACGAUGCGUAGCCGACCUGAGAGGGUGAUCGGCCACACUGGAACUGAGACACGGUCCAGACUCCUACGGGAGGCAGCAGUAGGGAAUCUUCCGCAAUGGGCGAAAGCUUGACGGAGCAACGCCGCGUGAGUGAUGAAGGUCUUCGGAUCGUAAAACUCUGUUAUUAGGGAAGAACAAAUGUGUAAGUAACUAUGCACGUCUUGACGGUACCUAAUCAGAAAGCCACGGCUAACUACGUG